UACGGAGGUGGCAAGCGUUGUUCGGAAUUACUGGGCGUAAAGGGCGCGUAGGCGGCGAGACAAGUCGGAUGUGAAAGCCCCGGGCUUAACUCGGGAAUUGCAUCCGAAACUGUAUCGCUUGAGUUCUGGAGGGGGUAGUGGAAUUCCCAGUGUAGCGGUGAAAUGCGUAGAUAUUGGGAGGAACACCUGCGGCGAAGGCGGCUACCUGGACAGGAACUGACGCUGAGGCGCGAAAGCUAGGGGAG
RNAcentral lists this ribosomal RNA (245 nucleotides) under uncultured bacterium. Its description in RNAcentral is "partial 16S ribosomal RNA". It matches the Rfam family "Bacterial small subunit ribosomal RNA", at positions 524 to 768 of the family's 1533-position model. The record is from RNAcentral.